This is a long non-coding RNA of Paramacrobiotus metropolitanus, 4701 nucleotides long. RefSeq lists it as uncharacterized. Lineage: Eukaryota; Metazoa; Tardigrada; Eutardigrada; Parachela; Macrobiotidae. The transcript is spliced from 4 exons. The record is from RefSeq and is a predicted model, not a curated record.
ACUCAUGCGUUUCGUGCAUUUGAAUCAGCUCUUUCGUUUGUUCAAUGUAGUGGUUCUUGUACUUAACUAAUUUUGCACGGGUUCGCUUCUCCGCUGAUCGUAAUUCAUUGGUUGCACGCGCUAAUUCAUCUUGAAUCCUAUUAACGAUAUCUUUGAACCAUUAUUACAGUUGGAGAAUUUCCAAAUUGUAAUCCAGCUUCUCAGCAUUAACCAGGAAGCUGGCUCGCAUGUUCUGCAGUUGCUCCGUCAUUAACUGCAAAACGGCAAACAUGAUCAUCUUUACAUCCAUAUAAGCAUCCAGUUUCGCUGUGCGGAGGACCUUCAUGUUGCCCAGUAUUUCGUCUAGUAACUCUUCCCUUUGGACAGUAAUCGCAUCCUAUGAAAUUUCACAUACUGUAUUAACUUCCGUUUCUGGCAAAAUUAGCCAAAAUACUUCCACCGCUAACUUCACAGCCCAAAUAAUUAUGCACAAGAUGGAAUUAACGAAAAUAUACAGCAGUUAACAUGAUGGUUAUGAGAUACCGUAUAAAAUGUAAUACCUACUUGGUCUUACAUCUUUCGCUCUGACUUGGGCGUAACCUUGUUCCCACAGGCCGUUAACCUUCCUUGUGUAGUCGUGUUCAAUCCCGAUCACAAUUUUCUGCAAGAUAUUGGUUGCAUUACAUAAUAUAAUUAGGAAGCGAUUCUAAUUCUCCAGAAGUUUCACGUAGUUACGUUUAAUUCGUAAAUUUCUUUCCUUCCAAAUGCCGCCAGCUUCGUGCAAAACUCCCAAGCCUUCUUCCUAACUCCAUCAAUGUCCCUCUGAUAUGUUCGCAGUAUGCGAGUAAAAUUAUCAUCCAGGCUUUUCAGUUCAUCUUCAAUCUCCUCGACAAACGAUUGUUUCGAUUUGACCAGCUCUUGACCGUAUUUCCGAUAUUUUUCUAGGAGCAUCACCAACUAUCAUCAACGAAUAAGAAUAACUCCUCCGAUUGUAAUGAUUGAUUGUAACUUACUUCAUCCAGUGCCAACGUUUUAUGACCGAUUUCAGAAUACUUCCGGAAUUUGGCUUGCAUUCGUUGGGAGCUUAAGGCUUUAUUCUCCUUGAUGCGUUGCUCUAAUAAGGCGAGAUGUUGGCGAACGGCACGACGUCGCUGGAUUCGACGGUGGCAUACAGUUUUAACGAAACCAUGGAGGACGUCUUCUUGUUUCGCAACGUUUCUCCGGAAGUUCUGUCAUAGGAAACUUUUGCCUAGAGAACGCUGCAUAUACAAGCGGGUUUAUGAAGUGACCUUUGCGCUUUCCGCCACUGGUGCAAAGGAUGGCAUCCUGGCUGUCUUUUUCUCUUCGUGCUGAUCUUCGAUCUGUUCCUCCGUGUUAGACUUUCUGCAACCACAGAGCGAGGUGCACUAUGCUCUUUAUAGGAAAGCAACAUAAAUACAAAAGGUUGAAGCGAUCGUAAUUGUCGAACGCACUGAUCUUGGCGAGCCAGACGUUGCUCCAACCGCUUGCGCCGAGCCAUGAUGCGUUCUUCGCGAACAUUCGACAAGAUGCCAGAUCCUCUUUUAACAGGCUGUGCAUUCUGAAAUUUGGGAAAAUCCAAAAUAGGAUCCUUAUCUUGAAACUGGCCAAAGAUUGCAUCCAGAUGGGCUUGUGAUGCAGGACCAUCGCCAUCUUUAACUCGCAAAUCUGCUUCGUGAUCCAUACAAAUGAUAAUCCAAUCGAACAAAUUUGCUGUGGACUCAAGGAAAGCAAGCGCUGUAGAAGUGACUUAGAUUAUGGGUGGAUGUGAUACUGAGAAUCGGAGAAAAUAAAACGUUGUAUUAUUCCUCAUUAUGAGCAGUACUUUGAGGCUUAACAUAAAGCAACUUGUACAGUAUUGCUGGUACAUUAUAUGUGCAGUACUCGUAUGCAAUUUGCAUAAAAUCACCAAGCUCGUUGCUUUUGCUUUUUGUUUCGCAGGUGCUCCGUCGUUACCAAGUAACAGCUCAAAGUCUGGCUGAGUGGUAGGAGGCUGGAAAAACUGCCAACUCCUACUGUAUGAGGGCUAGUAAGUCCAGAAUUUUGGUACGCACCAUCACCGUCACACGUGUGACGCGUAACCAAUUCCUUUGUCGAGUGGUUAAUAUUUGCAGCCCAUAGCAGAUCAAAUGCUUGGUGUUAGCGACCCGAGUGUCCGGUGAAAGUUCACAGAAUUAUUAAUAAAACAGUUUUUACUUUUAUUGCAUUGGAACGAUACAGUACCUUGCACUGAAUGCUCAAACAGAGAAACAACGGUAUUAUUCGUAUAUUUUCUUGCGAGUUUCUUUAUUUAACAGUUAACAGACAUCGGAAAAUUUCCUAAAAGAUCAUAGCUGUUCUUAUAGUUCGCAAUAAUGGCUGUGAUAAUCAAGAAACAUAGCCUAAUUGCUUGUUUUUAUUCAUUUCUUUUUCUCAUCUUUCGGAGUGCCUUUUCCACCGUCGGCCUUUUCCGGUGGCUUUGCCGCUACUUCUGGCUUAUUCUCCUUUGCUGGUGCUUUUGGAUCCUUUGCAUCUUUCCCUGACGUUUGCAGAUAUUCUUCCUUGGCGUAUGGAAAUUUUCCUCGUGGCACCGGCUUCCCAUCGGGGCCUUUAACACACAAAACUAUUCACUUGCGCCGGUAAAAGGUUGAAAGAGUGUUAGUUCUCAGAGAUUGCAAAAUAGUAAGUAUUUAAAUGCGACUAGAGCAACAUAAAAUAAUUGACUUACUCGUAAAAUAAAAAUGAUUAGGAGAGUAAUAAAUCAACAAGUCACGAAGCAGAAAUAAAUCAUAAAGUUUUUGUGUUCGCAAAAUUGGUGUAUCUGCAUUGUUCAGGAACUUCAGAAACUUUUAAGGAUACAAAGGCCGCUUUCAGUGCUGAGUAAUGACAAAGUUUUGAUCUCAGAUUUGUGACGCCAAAGGAUAAGAAUGUUUUGCACUUUAAUAAGUCAUUAAUAAUUAUAAUAAAUAAGGUUUAAUAAAAUCAGUUUUUAUAAAAUUCAUAUAUUUAACAACAAUAACUCUGUGAAGUGACCUUUAAUAAAAUUGGGUGGAUAACAGACUUCCGGCUGUGGGAAGCGUUUCAUUAGACGGCUGGGGUCAUACUUGAUUCCGCGGUCGGUAGGCACAUCACCACGUGGAAACAGCAUUAGAUGCUGCGAGCGGAAGAAACGCGGAAAGAGCAUAUCGUUGACUUUCCAGACAAUCUGAUAACAAGAAAUUGUUAAACAGUACCAAAAAGAGAAAGAUCACUGCACUUUUAAUCUGUCAUAUGCCUUUACCUCUGGAUCGGGUAGAACCGCCCCGAUUAGCUGCAUCAGUGACGGAUUAUCACAGACAGCUGUGCGGUACUUUUUGAAGGUUAUGUAGUCAUCCUUCUGGUGGGCAAUGCGAUUCAUGAUUAAACGAUAAAUGUCCUAGUAAUAAACAGGGAAAUUAAUAAUAGUAGCGAAAUGGUUUUCCUGGGGUAACCUCUGUAUGCGGCGCUAUGCGCUAGCGUUCAAAACUCAGCAAACGUAUGCCGGUUACCGUACCAGACCUCGUAAAAUUCGGCUUUUUGGCUGUCAGUCAUCGGGUUCAGGUUAUAAUAGCUCCGCUUGAUCCAAAACUUAAUGUCUUCAGAUUCCAGCUGACCUUUUCCGCGCAGAUCGUACGCCAAAAAGCAAUCUAUAAAGCAAUUACAAUGUAACUUUUAAUCACUUAUCAAUAAAUUACUUAUUUCGUGUAGUGCGUCUCUUUAUAAAUUAUUUCAGUGGAAAGUAAAUUUAUCACAAGCGGUCGUACAUAAAGUAUUUAGUUAUUCUCUGUACCGCCUUAUCCUACUUUGCUGUUGAACAUACAUUUCAUUUGUUCGUGAAUGGAUCCCACUAAAAUCGUGUGCAUUCCAUGAGUCCACUCCUGAUAGUCGAUUAACUCAUCCUAGAAAAUUCGCUGGAACAUGGAUUUCAACAAUGGCUGCAUAGGACUGCCACUAGUGCGAUGUACCUUAUUUUUGUCAAAAAUAAUGAACACUGAAAAAACAAUAAUUACUGUUACCGCUUGUAUUAAGAAUAGAUUUACCAGUUGUGAACAUGUACCUACUGCGUUCACAAAGAAAUGCGUCAUACAUGUCCAGAGUCCCAAAAAUAAAGCGCUUGAAUUGCGUCUUCGUCAUGUAUCCCUUAGGCUUUUUAGCGUGUUCGAAGAACAAAUCUACUAACGCUCUAGUUUCGUUCUUCUGAACUGCAAAGAAAAAUAGCUGUAGCAUUUAUACCGGCCAUCCUUUCUGUGAUUUUUCAUACGAACCGUACGGCAUAAUGCGUAAACAUCGCACAGUCAUGUAGCAAGAAUACAUUGGAGGUCGGCAGAGUUUCAUAAAAAAUGUUCACGGAAUAGUUUCGGCAAACUUUCCGAAAUUAAAAUCUCUUUACGCCUACUCUAGGUUGUAUGUGUUAGUUAACACGCUCUUUUUAUACAUUAAUUAUCCACUGCCCAUUAGGAACGAAUGGAGUGGAUGAUAAAGCCAUUGUGCUUCGCAGCAGAGUAGAAAAAUCAGGAAGGCAUAAUCCAUAAAUGUCAAGGCUAAAAUAUGUGGAUAAUAUGAUGCAUUUGGUAAAAAGUGUUUUUACAUAAUUUAUUCUAAACAUGAGCCAGUUUUAAAUCCGCCUGUAAAGUGAAAUGUGCCUACUGUCUUGCUAAAACUGAGGGAGAAAUCAGUGUCAACACUUGAGAACCCCGAAAACAUUUA